GCCUACACGAAGCUGGAAUCGCUAGUAAUCGCGGAUCAGCACGCCGCGGUGAAUACGUUCCCGGGCCUUGUACACACCGCCCGUCACACCAUGAGAGUCUGUAACACCCAAAGCCGGUGGGAUAACCUUUAUAGGAGUCAGCCGUCUAAGGUAGGACAGAUGAUUAGGGUGAAGUCGUAACAAGGUAAC
RNAcentral lists this ribosomal RNA (189 nucleotides) under uncultured bacterium. Its description in RNAcentral is "partial 16S ribosomal RNA". It matches the Rfam family "Bacterial small subunit ribosomal RNA", at positions 1314 to 1500 of the family's 1533-position model. The record is from RNAcentral.